AGAAAAUUACUCAGUAUUUUUUUCUAUGAAGAACGGCAAGCCCAUCCCAAUCCAAUUCCGAUUUAAUCGCCUGGAUGGGUCAUUGGAGUAUUAAUAAAAAUUGAAACUUUGGUGUUUCAGACCAGGCGCCUCCCAAGGUAUCGAAUUGCAGUCAGGCGAUUCCAGGGCUUCAGAGUUAUAAAGCUUGACUGCAUGAAACCAAACAAGUUCCUUCAUGCAAUUGAAAAUUUAAACAGUAAUACAUUAAAGCUCUAUACUUUUGAGUCCGGCGUCAUUUUCCUGACUGGAGUUUCAAUAUUAUCAUCAUCCUCAGUUCAUACUUAAGGCAGUACCUAUAAUGUCAUCUUCAUGUGCUGUACUUCAGCAGGUCCGCCAUGGUCUCAAUAGUAGCGCAUUACCCAAAGUUUCUUCCUCUGUAUCACAGCUCAUAGGACCCUCCCGAAAUCUAUAAAAUCUCCAACCCACCGUCACCACCACUACCACCACCAUUGUUUGAUUUCUUCUACCAUGUAGUUCCUGGUACGAAAUCUAAAACUGUGGUUAGAAGAUUAGAAUUAGCUUGGAAUCAUGAUUCAUUGAUAGCUUUGAAGUUGAUAUGCAAUUUAUGAGUCUAAAACUGUGGUUAGAAGCUUGGAAUCAUGAUUCAUUGAUAGUUCCUGGCACGAAAUCUAAAACUGUGGUUAGAAGAUUAGAAUUAACUGUGAUUGAGAGACACGAAACACCGGCAGAAAUAAGGAUUCAAGAAAACAUGGAAAGGGUUCAGUUAGUGAAAAGAAGGGCGCGUGGACUGAGAAAUGAAGGGCUGUCUUUUCUUUCUAAGCAGCAACUUCUUCUGUUUUAAUUCUGUGUUUCAUGUUCAUCUAUCCCACAGUACCUUUCCCUCUUUCUGUCAUUGUGAUUGGAAGUCCACAAAGUCAUUUGUUGCUGUAAGUUCUUUCUUUCUUUACAUUUGAUUGGGUACAUCUGGACUUUGUGCCAAGCAUAAAGUGCACAUUGGAAUUCCCAGAAUCAGUUUACAUCUUAGUAUAAUUCUUGGAAAAUCGGGAUGCUCUGUAUGGCCAAUUGUAUUCAUAAUAUGAGGUAGGAAUUACCAAUAGAUACCAUUAUAGUGUUCUUAGUUAGUGGCAGGUCCACCCAUUAAAGUCCAGUAAUCAGGGGUCCAUAAUUAAAAGAAAACAUGAAAAUGGACCAAAUUUUUUUUGCCCGGGUCCUGCACACGUGCGAGAUCAGGUAUACGUAAUAUGAAAAUACCACAAAUAAUCUUUCCUAUUUAAUAUGUUAAAAGCAUGAGAAAUAUUUUUCACAUUUCAUAUUCAUUUUCUUCUUCUCUUUCCUCUCACCAUUGUUGCAGAUGAAGAUGAAGAUUUGUUUUUGUUCUUUCUCGUUUCUACCGAAUCAGAUGAUGAAGAUUUUCCAUUGUAAUGUUUCUUUUAAGGUUUUGGCGAUCUAAUCAUUGUUGUGCUUGAUUAUGUUUUCGAUCUCCAUGGUUGAUUUGUCGACUAUAUAUUAGAUCUAGAUGAAUAAUCACAUUUUUUGUUCAUUUCGUUGCUAGAUUCGAUUAUGCCACUUCCAUUUUAGAUGUUUUAGAU
Papaver somniferum (opium poppy) is the source of this 1589-nucleotide long non-coding RNA. RefSeq lists it as uncharacterized. The transcript is spliced from 3 exons. Lineage: Eukaryota; Viridiplantae; Streptophyta; Magnoliopsida; Ranunculales; Papaveraceae. The record is from RefSeq and is a predicted model, not a curated record.